Molecule: ribosomal RNA, 210 nt
Filed under: Triticum aestivum (bread wheat)
Lineage: Eukaryota; Viridiplantae; Streptophyta; Magnoliopsida; Poales; Poaceae
Description: partial small subunit ribosomal RNA
Source: RNAcentral
AUGGCGGACUGGGCCCCGGUGUUCGUCGGGCUGGCGCUAUUCAUCCUCCUCUCGCCGGGGCUGCUGUUCCAGAUCCCCGGCAAGGGCAGGAUCGUGGACUUCGGCAGCUUCCAGACCAGCGGCGCCUCCAUGCUCAUCCACGCCGUCAUCUACUUCGCCCUCAUCACCAUCUUGCUCCUCGCCGUCCGCGUCCAAGUCUUCCUUGGUUGA